UGGUGGAGCGAUUUGUCUGG
RNAcentral lists this non-coding RNA (20 nucleotides) under Arabidopsis thaliana (thale cress). Lineage: Eukaryota; Viridiplantae; Streptophyta; Magnoliopsida; Brassicales; Brassicaceae. RNAcentral also lists the same sequence under 1 other name. The record is from RNAcentral.